AGUUAAGUAAACCACUUCUUAUGCCUGGUCUGCCUUCCCGACUACGUUAACAAGACACCUGAGGGCAGGGCACAUCAUGGGUUCCUAUUUCUGGGCUUAGACCCAAGAACUCAAUAAAUGGUUGUGAUGCUGACAACAAUAACAACACUGAUAAAAGGAUCAACAAGCAGACGAGGUCUGGGGACUCAGCCUUUGCAACGCUAACAUUCUCCCCCUGCUGCCCCAGAAUGAAUAAAGGGAUGAACAGAUAAUAAACAGGGUGAGCUUGUGUCUGCCCCUGAAGAUCCCUCUAAUUGCAUACCUACCUCUUAAACCCCAAUUCAUUGACAGAGAAGAGAACAAAUUGAUGAUGAACUCUUGUUGCUGAUUGGCUGUGACCACAUUUAUGAUGUAAAUAAGUGAGAGGAAACUCCUAGGCUCUGACUGGCCUGGGGCAGGAGGCCCCAGGAGCAGAAGGGCAUCCGAUAUGGAAGCAGAAAAGCAAGAGCAGUGACAAGCCUGGUCAAAGAGCUCCCUGGGUGCAGAACGGCAGCCUAUGAGAAAAGGUUGCUGGCCAGUGUGUUAAGCAAUGAGGAUGCGAUGGCACUAGAAAUGCAAGCCCUCAGUCUCUCCGCUGGAGAGAUGGACCCACAAGCAGGUAGGUAUAAAACAGUGUGGUAAGUAAAAAACUAGAGAAAUUACAGGGAGCACUGUGGGGUGGACCUAACUCAGGAAGUGGACCUCACCCAGGUGGGCUCUUCCUUCUGGAGGAGGUGACACCUCGGCAGUCUUAAAGGAUGGAGUAGGGAGGCAGUGAGGGGCAAGACGGGGGCAGUGUAGAAAGGGCAUUUGGGGCAAAAGGAAUCAGCAUGAGCAAAGGAACAAAUGUGACCAACAGAAUGGCUUAUGAGAGGCACUCCAGGCAGCUAGAUAAUGCUAGAACAGUACAUGAGGGUGGGGAGGGGUAGGAGACAGGCUGGAACUACAGACAGGAGCCAGGGCAUGGGGCCCCUGUAAACUGCAUUCUGCAGGGUGGAAGUCUGGGUCCCUGUGUUUUUAAGCACAAGAGUGCUUACAACACCCUAAAGGUUUUACGCACGAGUGACUUAAGUUUCUAUCAUCUUCGAUUCAGGAGGUUUUCGGUUGUUGUUUUUUUUUUUUUCCCCAAAGGGAAACUGCAGGACAGCCUUGCAAGCUGCCCUAAUUGAGCUUCAGGAACCUCAGGGUCAGCACAGCCCUACCUGACUAACUACGGAAGGCAAGCACCCAGCUCCUUUGGUCCCCUGCC
This is a long non-coding RNA of Orcinus orca (killer whale), 1267 nucleotides long. RefSeq lists it as uncharacterized. The record is from RefSeq and is a predicted model, not a curated record. Lineage: Eukaryota; Metazoa; Chordata; Mammalia; Artiodactyla; Delphinidae. The transcript has 3 exons.